UACGAAGGGGGCUAGCGUUGCUCGGAAUGACUGGGCGUAAAGGGCGCGUAGGCGGCUCAUACAGUCAGAUGUGAAAUUCCUGGGCUUAACCUGGGGGCUGCAUUUGAUACGUGUGGGCUUGAGUGGGGAAGAGGGUCGUGGAAUUCCCAGUGUAGAGGUGAAAUUCGUAGAUAUGGGGAGGAACACCGGUGGCGAAGGCGGCCAUCUGGACGGAUACUGACGCUGAGACGCGAAAGCGUGGGGAGCAAACAGG
Molecule: ribosomal RNA, 253 nt
Filed under: uncultured bacterium
Lineage: Bacteria
Description: partial 16S ribosomal RNA
Rfam family: Bacterial small subunit ribosomal RNA
Source: RNAcentral